UACAGAGGGGGCAAGCGUUGUUCGGAAUUACUGGGCGUAAAGGGCGCGUAGGCGGCCCGCUAAGUCGAACGUGAAAUCCUCGAGCUCAACUCGGGAACUGCGUCCGAUACUGGCGGGCUUGAAUCCGGGAGAGGGAUGCGGAAUUCCAGGUGUAGCGGUGAAAUGCGUAGAUAUCUGGAGGAACACCGGUGGCGAAGGCGGCAUCCUGGACCGGUAUUGACACUGAGGCACGAAAGCGUGGGGAGCAAACAGG
This 253-nucleotide ribosomal RNA is filed under the name uncultured bacterium. Its description in RNAcentral is "partial 16S ribosomal RNA". It matches the Rfam family "Bacterial small subunit ribosomal RNA", at positions 524 to 776 of the family's 1533-position model. The record is from RNAcentral.